Molecule: long non-coding RNA, 4742 nt
Filed under: Triticum aestivum (bread wheat)
Lineage: Eukaryota; Viridiplantae; Streptophyta; Magnoliopsida; Poales; Poaceae
Description: long non-coding RNA (TAES_LNC006045)
Source: RNAcentral
UUUUUUUUUGAGUCUAAACACACUUUAUUAUUCAAAAAGUUCAUAGGGAUACAAUGAAUGUCUGGUGGGUUUAUAAGCCACAAAUGGCGCCCAAGAUUCAGACCGAAAGCGUGCUUAGCGAAACUAUGCGCCUCAAUAUUGGUGGAUCUACCUUCGAAGAUGAAGGUACAUUGAUGAAACAGAGAUUGGGCAAGGUAUUAAUUUAUUGGGCCGCAACUACUCUUCCAUGAUCUCCGUUUUCUUCUGGUCCAGUGUUCCGUCUCCUAAUUAUUUCGCCCUAGCUCUAGUUUCAUUCAGUUCAAUCCACUUCAGGCCAUUACAGCGCGUUUACUUCGCCAUGGGGCUCUUCCGCUGGAUGUAAUGGCAUUCAUCUGGACUUCUGAAAGUUCCUGCGUGAUAGGACAUAAAUAUUACCGGAUACCUCUUACUCCUAAAGUAUUUCCUUGCUUGAUUUUUCUGGCUAAUGGACCACCCAAACAAAUCUCAUGUAAGUAGGUACGACUGCGGUGGUGAUUUUUGCUUGUUCUUUUUGUGGGAAUGGCAUGAGCUAGGAGAGGCUUGGGAUCAAGGCGACUUAAGGUUGGAGUGGUGAUUGUCGUGCAUGAGGCCUUGUUGCAUGCUGUCUUGCCAUGGACCUUUCCAUAUCCUAGUGACCACGAGGCUUCUUAUCUGCCGAUUUGAUGAGCGAUGUGAGUAUUUCCUAGCCCAUGUGCCAUGGACUCAUGGUGAACAGGUGGGGUUAGGAUUUCUGGGUGGAUCCACCUGUCAUUGGCGGCGUGAGUGUUCUAUAUUUUUCUUCAUAUGGACGUGUUGGAUUCACUUAUGUACGAUAACCGCCUGUAAAGUCUGCUUCUGUACUACUACAUAUGAAUGUGCUAGGCUCAGUUCUACAGUGAUGUAUGGGCAAUGAUGCGCUGGCCAAUGGACAACUAAAUUCGGAAGUUUGAAUUUUUAGCACUCGAAUGGGUACAUCUAUGGUUUUUUAAUUACUUGUUGGUUUAAUGCAACUUUCAUAGCUACCUAAGAAGCUUGCAAACUGCUUAAUAUAAUCCAAGUUCACAAAUAAGUGGUAUUUCUGUUAUCGAUACAGUCUUUUAGAUGUAUGACCUCUAUCUUAUAUUGUCGUUAGUAUACACAUAAUAGCCCAGAAAUAAACAUUCCAUAAAUUUCUCAACAUCAAUAUACAUAUGAUUUUAAGUUUUCAGUCCAGAUAUUUCCCACAAUAUUCUCUAAACUUUGACUAAAGGUGUGUCUAGAACACAUUUUUUUGAGUUCUUGCACAUGGGGUAAGGGCUCCGGCCUUUGGGGAUAUCGCAUACGUAUACGAGAUCAGGGAUUUGUUUGAGUUCUUGCACAUUGGGUGCCUUUUAAAAGCGAGGUGGGUGAGAGUUUUUCUUGGAGUGAUCCGGUCACUCAUCACGAUCGCUCUGGAAAUUGGUGCAUCAAAUGACUGGGUUGUUCGGGUGAAAUGUUCCACUAUUUCUAGGGGCCAUCAAGCUGGCGAGCCCAAAAUACUAGAAAACCGCCUGCAAAUCGUACAACAUGUACUGACAUCAAGCAACAGCAACACUCUCUUUGGCUAGGGGAAAGUUCAACACAAGGAGCCAAUUUAUGCCGGAUGCUGCUUGCAACUUGCAACCAUGGACUGUCCCACUUGACACGGAUAUUACAGGUGGCAUUCGGGAUUUGUGUGGCCAUGAGAAAUCUACUUACCUACUUCAGGCCAUUCUAGCGCGUCUACUUCGCCAUGCGGUUCUUCCUCUGGAUGUAAUGGCAUCCAUCUGGACUUCUGAAAGUUCGUGUGCCGUAGGACAUAAAUAUUACCAAAUACCUCUUACUCCUGAAGUAUCUCCUUGUUUGAUUGUUCUGGCUAAUGGACCACCCAAACAAAUCCCACCUAAGUAGGUACGACUGACGUGGAGGUUUUUUCUUGUUCUUUUUGUGGGAGCGGCAUGAACUAGGAGAAGCUUGGGAUCAAGGCGACUUAAGGUGGGAGUGGUGAGCAUCGUGAGUGAGGCCUUGUUGCAUGCUGCCUUGCCAUGGACCUUUCGAUAUCCCAGUGACUAUGAGGCUUCUUAUCUGCCGAUUUGAUGAGUGAUGUGAGUAUUUCCUAACCCAUGUGCCAUGGACUCAUGGUGAACGGGUGGGGUUAGGAUUUCUGGGUGGACCCACCUGUCAGUGGCAGCAAGAGUGUUCUAUAUUUUUGUUCAUAUGGAUGUGUUGGGUUCACUUAUGUACGAUAACCUCCUGUAAAGUCUGCUUCUCUACUACUGCAUAUGGAUGUGCUAGGCUCAGUUGUACAGUGAUGCAUGGGCAAUGAUGUGCUAGCCAAUGGAGAAUUAAAUUCGGAAGUUUGAAUUUUUAGCACUCGAAUGACUACAGCUAGCUUUUUUGUUAGUUGCUCGAUGGUUGAAUGCAACUUUCAUAGCAACCUAAGAACCUGCAAACUGCUUAAUUAUAAUCCAAGUUCACGAAUAAGUGAUGUUUCUAUUAUUGAUAUGGUAUUUAAGAUGUAUGACCAUUGACCGCUAGCUUAUAUUGUCGUUAGUACAUACAGUACAUAAUAGCCCAAAAAUAAACAUUCCAGAAAUUUCUCGACACAAAUAUACAUAUGAGUUUUGUGAGUGGGAGGGAGUGCAUAUCAUCACACCACGAAAUUGCGGCAAAACCACAUUGGGGCAUUAUUUGAGCUGAUUCUGACAACAGAGGGUAGAAUAUGAAAUAGUUUUAUGUUUGAGAUGGUAAAGUAGGCUAUGUACCGAACAUGAGUGUUAAAUUUACAUUUGGUUCUUCCAGUUCACACAUGUAUAUUUUACUAUACUACUCCCUCUGAUCCAUAUUAAUUAUCGCAGCUUUAGUACAACUUUAGUACUAUUAAUUUCGAUUGGAGGGAGUACUACAAUUAAUUUUGAUUGGAGGGAGUACCAUUUUUCGUUUUGCCCAGAACCCAGAUGGUGUGAUACUGACAUUCUACGCUGGACAUGUUUCUCUAAUACAACAUGUCAUAGAUAUCAGCAACCGAUCCGUUGUCAUGGAGCUAUCCAGGUGAUUUCUAUGGAUUAUAUUGUUUUGAUUGUGCUUGGACGGAAGAACGGUUGAAAUAUGUAAGUGUAUGAUGCAAUGAUCAAUUAGUUGUGUAGUAUCAAACUGUGGAAUCUGCAUAUCUGUCAGCCUUAUAUGUGUAACAGUGCUAGUGCCACCUAAUUUGUUGGUAGAACCCAAUUAACACCUCAUGUGUCAUGUUUUACUUUGGAAUCCUUAUGUGUAGCAGCUCCAAGGAUCAUACGAAAAACAAAAGCACAGACAAGUCCAAUCAAUACACGUGGUUUAUAUGAUCUUUGGAAUAACAUGGAGCGGGGGCCUGCAGAAACUCAGCAUUAAGCAUUCUAAUAUUUAAUCAAAAUUAAGUAUCCACCCCCAUUGGAUCAAGGGAGGAUAGUAAUCCUUAUAAACAUAGAGACACAAGCCCCAAGAAAAAAUAUGGUAAGCAUGACUGGUCAAACACUGUCUAACAAUCUGCACUCGGCAUGUUGCUAUCCUACAGUAUGCUGUAGAUGUCCGCAAUCAAUUAUCUUUGAACAGUCUAGAUCAAGUGUACCAAGAUGUGGAUUCAAGUGUUAUCAUCAUGCAUCAAUCACACUGGUAACCAGAUUCCAUUUGAAAUGGAACGCGUAAGGAUAUCCCAAUGCCUCCAACUCCAAACAUUUGUAUAUGUGGUUGAUAUCUUUACCACCCCUCGUCUGUCAUUAUAAGCAGUAAUUGUUGUUUUUGUGGGCGCCAAACUUCUAGUGCGUGUGCAUAUGAUAAGAAUGGAAAGGCAGUGGGGUCUUUUAAAGGCAAGAUUUGUGCUACGAUUCAAAUAUGUACGAACAUAAGUACAAUGAUCAAUGUCGUAUCAAGUUGGAGAAUCUGUAUGUCUAUCAACCUUAUGUGAGUAACAGUGCUACAACAACCAAUUUAGUGGAACUGCGGCAGUACAAUCAAAACCUCAUGUCCUUUUUAUUGCAGCAAAACACAAUCAAACCUCGUAACAUUUUAAGUUAAGGACUAAGGCGGGCAAGAGCUAGCUUAAAAAAAUUCAUCAAUAAUAGGCACUAAAAAAAGUGUAUAUGAUGCUUGUCAAUUGUGAUCUCUCCAGAAUAGCAUGGAGCAGGGGCCUACAGAGCUCAGCUUUGGUUGAAUUAAAACUAUCAACAACCCACUGACUACAGAGAGGAUAGCAAUCCUUAUAAAUACAGACACUGGAAAUUUUGUGUAUUUACGUCAUUGUUGUUUUGAGUACACAUAAAAUCAAAAGUCUGCAUCGAUACAGUGGAAGUGUUCCAAGUUCAGUCGCCCUUCCUAAGAUUUACAAUUACAAUACGCACGGCACAGCAAAAGUUAGCUAAUGCUCAUAUGGCUCUGUAUUUACAACAUGCAUCGACCUCAAUGAAAAAUCUCAUCUCCCUCCAACUCAUCUAGCCCACAGCUGAGUUAGCAUCUUCUUCCAGGAUGAUGUGUGCCAGUAGUGCUGACUGCUAAGGCACAAAUUCUUCCUAGUUCGCCAAUGAACGAGCCCGAAUCCAUCCUAUGAGUCCUCCACGUUAUGCACCAGUUGUGGUUUUGUGGAUCUGUUCGUGCUAGGUAACCUAAGCUGCUCAUAGAGUACCCCAAAAAAAAAAGUUGAUCACUAUGUCUAGAACUGGGAUUGUUUAGCUACCAGUAAACUAUCAGCAAUCUUCUGGGAGUGCCAUGUGGUUAGC